GCAUUGGUGGGUCAGGGAUAAUUCUCUCGCCUGCCACGCGGGAGGCCCGGGUUCGAUUCCCGGCCAAUGCA
This 71-nucleotide transfer RNA is filed under the name Nipponia nippon (crested ibis). It matches the Rfam family "tRNA". Rfam says of the family: Transfer RNA (tRNA) molecules are approximately 80 nucleotides in length. Their secondary structure includes four short double-helical elements and three loops (D, anti-codon, and T loops). Further hydrogen bonds mediate the characteristic L-shaped molecular structure. tRNAs have two regions of fundamental functional importance: the anti-codon, which is responsible for specific mRNA codon recognition, and the 3' end, to which the tRNAs corresponding amino acid is attached (by aminoacyl-tRNA synthetases). tRNAs cope with the degeneracy of the genetic code in two manners: having more than one tRNA (with a specific anti-codon) for a particular amino acid; and 'wobble' base-pairing, i.e. permitting non-standard base-pairing at the 3rd anti-codon position. The record is from Rfam by way of RNAcentral. Lineage: Eukaryota; Metazoa; Chordata; Aves; Pelecaniformes; Threskiornithidae.